AUUUAUGUAGUUUAUUAAAACAUUACAUUUUCAAUGUAAAGAUAAAAUAAUUAUUUUCAUAAAUA
This 65-nucleotide transfer RNA is filed under the name Macromia manchurica. RNAcentral describes it as "tRNA-Glu". It matches the Rfam family "tRNA". From Rfam's summary of the family: Transfer RNA (tRNA) molecules are approximately 80 nucleotides in length. Their secondary structure includes four short double-helical elements and three loops (D, anti-codon, and T loops). Lineage: Eukaryota; Metazoa; Arthropoda; Insecta; Odonata; Macromiidae. The record is from RNAcentral.